GCAACCUGGCAUAGGAAGUAGGGCAAUCAGGCCCACCUGCCACAUAUGCUGCCUCAGAGUAAAACCAAUUCACUUUAUGAUGCCCCAGAGCUGCAUUGAAGAGGUGGGAGUCCUCUGUCUCUCCAGGACAGCCAACAUGCAGCCUUUGUAACGGGGAGAGUGCUUCUGGAAUUGAGUACAACCAGAGCAGAAAACCAACCCAAGGUUCACGCCUCAUCUGAGUGCCUCAGAGACUGCAGCUUUGGCUCUAGGACUAAUUUCACCCUUCAGCAGGAUGAUGGACUCUGCACAGGUCAACCUGAGCACAUCUUCUCACUCAGCCACUCAUGUACCACCAAUUUGUCAUAUUUUACUAUCUCCAACAGGGGG
This is a non-coding RNA of Anas platyrhynchos (mallard), 369 nucleotides long. NCBI's taxonomy places the organism in Eukaryota, Metazoa, Chordata, Aves, Anseriformes, Anatidae. The record is from RefSeq and is a predicted model, not a curated record.